Molecule: ribosomal RNA, 953 nt
Filed under: Ferroplasma sp.
Lineage: Archaea; Methanobacteriati; Thermoplasmatota; Thermoplasmata; Thermoplasmatales; Ferroplasmaceae
Description: partial 23S ribosomal RNA
Rfam family: Archaeal large subunit ribosomal RNA
Source: RNAcentral
UUGGGGGAUGGUUUUGGUUUGAGAACCGAUGAAGGACGUGCCAAGCUGCGAUAUGCCUUGGGGAGGUGCAUGGAGCCGUUGAUCCAAGGAUCUCCGAAUGGGACUUCCUGUUUACACUCCGAAAGGAGAGGGAACCCCGGGAAUUGAAACAUCUUAGUACCGGGAGGAAGAGAAAUCAAUAGAGAUACCGUGAUUAAAGGCGAUCGAAAGCGGUAGAGGGCAAACCGAAUCUUUUCUGAAAAGAAAUAGAGAUGUGGAGUACGGAUCUUUCUCAAUGCCUACUUUAGGAAUUUUAAAAAGUUGGAAAGCUUUACCAGAGAGGGUGAUAGUCCCCUGAAAGUAACUAAAGCGGCUACGAGGAAAGAUAUCCUGAGUACCAUGCGUCAUUAUUCGCGUGGGAAUAUGGGUGGCAUGAACAUCCAACCCUAAAUAUUACUCAAGUCCGAUAGCAAAGAAGUACCGUGAGGGAAAACUGANNNNNNGGGCCAGGGAGUUGUGAUGGAUGGCGAGGCUAAUUCUAAAAGAAGCAGCCGUAGCGAAAGCGAUUACUCGCACAGCAAUGGAGGAGUAACGUAAUAAAUGCGUUUAGUCAUCUGUGGCAGACCCGAAGCCACUCGAUCUAUACCUGAGCAGGUUGAAGUUUAGCGAAAGCUAGAUGGAGGACCGAACCAGUUCUGANNNNNNNNNNNNNNNNNNNNAUUUCUGGUGAGGUAGAGCGACCGAUUGGGUGGCCAGCAGUAGAAAUACUGCACCACUUUGUCAAACUCCGAACUUGCUAGAAUCGUAGAGACCAGGUGCUAGGGCGUAGGGAUAAGCUUUACGCCCGUGACGGAAACAACCGAGACUAAUGUUAAGGUCUCUAAAAUUGGCUAAGUGCGAUUUAAAGAGGUUAAUGACCAAAGACAGUGUGGAGGUUAGCUUAGAAGCAGCUAUCCUUUAAAGAGUGCGUAACA